GCCCAGCGCCGGCGUCGCCCGGGAACCCCAGACUCUGCGCAACUGGCUGCGAUUCCAAAUCCCUCAGAUCGGCUACCAGAGCGCUGCCGCCACCGAGAAAAUGGAGGCACCGAGGAACAAGAUGUGCCGCGACCAAGAGAACUCGGCUUGGCGAAAUGGCGGUGCUGGGACCCUAAGAGUGACGCCAGCCGGAGGAGUUCCCAAGGACAACAUCCAUUUUGGCGGAACCAACGGUGUUGUCACGCAGAAAAUGUCGACCCUCGGAAAAGAGAGGUUCUGCGACCGAGAAAUUCGGUGCAACAAGUGCUGUGACAGAAAACCCCCCGCUCGGCGCUGCUGGCGAAAGAGCCAACAAAACGCUGGGUGCUGCCACCGUGACACCGACUUUAGGACCCCGGCCUCGGAUGGAGAAAGGAGGGUACGGAGCCACCACAUAACUUCCUAAUGUCUUCAAAUAGCGAAAGUGCUAGCCGGAAACUGCCGGCUGGGUUUACCUAUUGGUGCUCGUGUGGGACUAGCAGAUUCGAGAAACCAGCGGGACUGGAACCUAGUACACUUCGGCAGUUGAGAAAUGACUUACCAGGACAAAUACUGCUUCUGGCUCGAUGGUGCUGCCCAUGAACAUCCGCCGGCUCUGAGAAACGAGCUGCACUGUCAGUGAGAAACCGUGGGCACUGAGAAACGAGCGGACUGCAACUGAUAACUGCCCACCCAGUGCCACUACGACAAAGUGCUGCUGGCACUACUCCCACCCUCCGUCCUCAAAUCAGUCCCCUCCCGCCUAAGAAGACCUUUAUUUUUCCUAGCGAAGUCAUACUGAGGGCCCCAUCAACCGAUCCCUUGCGAUGCGCAUGGGAAAAGGAGGCAGUAUAGGGACCGAGAAUCGGGCGGAUUGGGCUGGCCCUGGUAACAAAAGCCAUCCGGGUCGCCAACCGUCUUCCACUGCAAGAAACAAACCUUCCAGUGGCUGGGCUCCGCCCUUCUCCUUGGUCAGAGCCCUCCAGGCUCCUAAGGGCGAAGCCGACACCUCAUCCCUUUGGAACUUGAAGUUCUCAGUCCAAGACCUCCGUGGAGAGUGAAAGACUCAAUGCCUCCUGACCGAGGCUUCAGGCCUGCCCCGGCAGCUAGGUACCUCUCCAGGGGAUGGAACUCUGUGGGAACUGCUAUUUAAUUCUGAUGGUUAACUCUGUCAGAUGGCCUUGAUAUAUGGGAAUAAUCGUUGCAGGAGGGUAGGGGAAAUAAGAAUCGCAAGACUCUAGCACAGGACGUGUGGAUUGAUGGAAACCUGAAACUGCCAUUGAGCAGAAGGAAAACAUCCCUUUCCAGAACCUUUCUCGUUUUUCUAAAAAUCUGCACUUUUGGAAGUGAUCCCCCAAAGAGACCUCCAGACUCUACCAUGAGUGUCUCCAGCUGAACUCAUCGUGUCUAAUCCUCACCCUAGCUUAUCCUGUUCAAAUCAUUUCCAUCUUUUUCUGGAUGAACCUGGGCGGAUGUCAGACCAGAGAAGAGCACAGAAUGUACCAGAGAGAGUCUUGCUCUGUCACCCAGGCUGAAGUGCACCCAGGCUGAAGUUGGAGGCUAUGGUGAGCUGCACCACUACACCACUAUGGGAGGCCGAGGCGAGUGGAUUGCCUGAGCUCAGGAGUUCGAGACCAGCCUGGGCAACGUUGUGAAACCCCGUCUCUACUAAAACACAAAAAAUUAGCCAGGCCUGGCGGCAUGUGCCUAUAGUCCCAGCUACUCAGGAGGCUGAGGCAGGAGAAUUGCUUGAACCCGGGAGCUGGAGGUUGCAGUGAGCCGAGAUUGCGCCACUGCACUCCAGCCUCGGUGACAGAGUGAGACUCCGUCUCAAAAAAAAACAAUAUAAGGUGAAGGCCAAGCAGGGUGGCACAUACCUGUUGUCUCACCUACUCAAAAGGCUGAGGCCAGAGGAGGAUUGCUGGAAGUGAGUUCAAAGCCAGCCUAGAGAAUAUAUUGAGACUCUGUCUCUAAAUUUUAUAUAUAUAUGGUGAAUUCACCUUUACCAUAUCUUUUAUGUAUAAGCAAUGGGAUUGAUUAGCAAGUAAUGGGACUCUGAAAUCAAAGGGGUAAAUUUGGGUAGAUCUUUAUAAAUAUAAUAACCUUGAACCCCACAAAUCUCUCUAAGCGUCCUUUAAAAAAUAGACUUUCUGUCUGAGUAGGUGAGUCCUUUUUUUUGUUUGAAGAUACUAGAAAGCUCUUACUUGAGACAGCUCCUAAAAGAAUGUCAAUUCAACAGAAGUCUCAUAGCCAGUAUAACUAAUUCUAACCCCCUAACUAGAGUCAGAUACUAGGAUACCCCUAAGGGACAACAAUGAAAUCUGAAUUUGGGUGUCAUUGCUUACAUAUCAAAACAGUUGCAAGAGACAGUUAAUUUAUAUUUGCAGAAACCAUAUGAAUUUGUAUGAAAAUGAUUUUUUAAAGUGCUAUAUCAAGAAAACUAGAACAUAAUGCAGAACAAAUAAAAUUUACUUAUAUGGGUGCCAAGAAUAGAAAUUCUGGGUUCCGCAUACAUCAGCAUCUAGAAGAAUCUGCAGUAGGUAUGGAUGGUUGAUUGAGGCCUUUAUUCAAUGGUAGUCUACAAAGAAUAAGACAGAAGUAAGAACUUUCCUGUUAAAAUGGAAAGAUAGAGUAAACAAGUUUAGGAAUAUCUCAUAAGCCACUGAUUCCAUUCUUAGGUCUAUAUCCAAGGGAAAUUCUUGCACAUGCACACAAGGAAACAUGGAAGAGAAUGUCCAUAUAUGUACUGUUCACAGUAACAAAAAUUUGCUGAGGAGGAAGGAACUAAAACUCCAACAAUAGGAGAGCGGAUAGAAAGGAACAUAUUAUAUUCACAGAACGGAAUAUUUUACAAAAAUCAGAAUAAACUACAACAUUACUCAAAAUCAUGGCUGCAUUAUAGCAACAUAAUAUUCAGAGAAAAAGUUUAAAAGACUACAUAGAACUGUCAAUUGAGGAAAAUGACAAGAUAAGUCUCAAUCAUUUUAGGAGGUUUAUUUGCCAAAGUUAAGGACAUGCCUGGGAGACAGGUCUAUGCCUUUCUCUGAUGAUGAUUUUGAGGGCUCCAAAUUUAAAGGGGAAAGGGCAGGAUAUUGAGAAGCGCACAGUUUUCACAUAAACCAAAGGGGCAGAGGAAAAAUAUGGGGAAUCUGCAUUUUACAUAAGAUAACAGACAAAAUGGGGUAGAGGGAACAAUCAGAUAUGCAUUUGUGUCUGGCGAGCAGGGUGACUGCACAUGUAAAGAUAAGCUAUCAAUUUGCAUUGCCAUGGUGAAGUUUUAACAGCUCACCAGGAAUUUCCCUG
RNAcentral lists this long non-coding RNA (3321 nucleotides) under Homo sapiens (human). Its description in RNAcentral is "HSALNT0326344". Lineage: Eukaryota; Metazoa; Chordata; Mammalia; Primates; Hominidae. The record is from RNAcentral.